CCAAAGUUAUCAGGUCUCUCUUCUUUCAACACUAUUCUAAUUCAUGUGAAAAUAUUUAGCAGUCUGUAGAGAAAGAAAGCAAAGGCCCAGGCACUGGUCUCCUCUUUCAUCAAAUGGAAUCUGUGGGCCUGAACACCAGUCCUAGAUACAGCUGAAGAGCUGGUAAGCUCUAACCCCACAAGGGAAGACAAGAAAACUCUCGCUUAAGAGUUAUGUUACAAAGGGACGCAAACAAAGAGUGCCAGUUAAAAGAUCUUUAAGGACAAAGGUCAGUGGCAAGGUAAAAAGGAAAAGAGAUGUGGGAAUUUC
This 309-nucleotide long non-coding RNA is filed under the name Elaeis guineensis (African oil palm). Its description in RNAcentral is "long non-coding RNA (EGUI_LNC028740)". The record is from RNAcentral. Lineage: Eukaryota; Viridiplantae; Streptophyta; Magnoliopsida; Arecales; Arecaceae.